AAAUUGAAGAGUUUGAUCAUGGCUCAGAUUGAACGCUGGCGGCAGGCCUAACACAUGCAAGUCGAACGGUAACAGGAAGAAGCUUGCUUCUUUGCUGACGAGUGGCGGACGGGGGAGUAAUGUCUGGGAAACUGCCUGAUGGAGGGGGAUAACUACUGGAAACGGUAGCUAAUACCGCAUAACUCGCAAGACCAAAGAGGGGGACCUUCGGGCCUCUUG
RNAcentral lists this ribosomal RNA (219 nucleotides) under Escherichia coli. RNAcentral's name for it is "partial 16S ribosomal RNA". It matches the Rfam family "Bacterial small subunit ribosomal RNA", at positions 1 to 217 of the family's 1533-position model. The record is from RNAcentral. Lineage: Bacteria; Pseudomonadati; Pseudomonadota; Gammaproteobacteria; Enterobacterales; Enterobacteriaceae.